RNAcentral lists this transfer RNA (76 nucleotides) under bacterium. Its description in RNAcentral is "tRNA-Asn". It matches the Rfam family "tRNA". Rfam says of the family: Transfer RNA (tRNA) molecules are approximately 80 nucleotides in length. The record is from RNAcentral.
UGAGGUGUAGCCAAGUUGGUAAGGCGCCCGGCUGUUAACCGGGUCACCGCAGGUUCGAAUCCUGCCACCUCAGCCA